RNAcentral lists this ribosomal RNA (3021 nucleotides) under Triticum aestivum (bread wheat). Its description in RNAcentral is "partial small subunit ribosomal RNA". The record is from RNAcentral. Lineage: Eukaryota; Viridiplantae; Streptophyta; Magnoliopsida; Poales; Poaceae.
AUGGAGAUUGUGGUGGGUGCUUCGGAGGCCACCAUGAAAUCUCUAUUGAGGAAGCUCGGUGGCCUGCUUGCUCACGAGUAUGCUCUCAUCAGGGGCGUCCGCGGCGACAUCCAGUACAUCAACGACGAGAUGACGAGCAUGCAGGCCUUUCUUGGCGACCUCAGCAGCACUAUUCCCCAGGGCCAUGACCGCCGGAUGAAAGACUGGAUGGAGCAGAUCCGCGAUGUCACCUACGACAUCGAGGACUGCGUGGACGACUUCGCGCACCGCCUCUCCCACGACCCCAGUGGCGAAGUCUGCUGCGCGUUUGUCAUCUCCAAGGUCUAUGAGUUUUGGACGUGGCAGUCUCGCCGCGACAUUGCUUCCAGCAUCGCUGAGCUCAAGGUACGUGCGCAGCAGAUUGGCGAACGGCGUACGAGGUAUGGCGUCGAUAAUCCGAAGAGUGGCGGCGGGGAAUCCAGUGCAGUUGCCACUGGAGGAUUCCAGGCUGCUGAGAACCAACAGAUGAGCCUUGAGCUUGUUGGUACCAAGAAGCCUGUCGGAGUGGACAAGGACAUCAAGGACCUCGGGGAAUGGGUGACCUUACAACAACCAGCUGCAACAUCUCCCACAGAUCCCUCCUCAUCAGCCCCUACAUCCCAAACGGGGCCUAAGAAGAAUGGCCAAGGUGUUCUGUCCAUCGUCGGGUUCGGAGGGGUGGGCAAAACCACAAUGGCCAUGGCGUUAUACCAAAAAUUUGCUAAUCAAUUUGACUGCCGGGCCAUGGUCACGGUGUCGCAGAGCUCCGACAUAGAAGCGAUACUACAAAGCAUACAUAGUCAAGUCAUGCCACAAUCCAAAGAUGCUAACGAGAAGCAAGGCAGCAGUGGUGUCGGCACUUUGGAGAAAAAUAGCCUCGUGGCUGCCAUUGGCAGCCUGUGGGAUACUUUCAAACAGAAGGGCCACCAGGACGAUGAGCAGCCUGGUGGCAGCACCUCAGAUAUUGCACGAGAUCUCAGGAAGCACUUGGGGGAACAAAGUUACUUGCUCUUAGUUGAUGAUGUAUGGUCUGCAUCGAUGUGGGAGAAGAUAAGAAAUUCACUGCCUAAAAGUAAGAGAGGUGGCAGCAUAAUACUCACCACACGGUUUCAAGCAGUUGCUAGUGCGUGCAUAAGAGAUAAAGGAGUUCAUGUUCAGAAAGUGGGCGUACUUAGGGAUGACAAACCUAAAGAACUAUUCAUGGCCGAAUCCAAUAUGAGUGAAGAAAACCAGAAGAAAAUUCCACCUGAACUCUGGGAAAUUUGUGGGGGUCUGCCAUUGGCCAUAGUUACCAUGGCUGGGCACGCAGUCUGCAACCCAGAUAAACUAGAGAAGGACUGGAUGGAAGUUUGCGCCAGGUUGGUACCGGACCCUGGGAAACCUCUUGGCCAGGACGGAGUCACAAGGAUACUAAGCCAUUGCUACAAUGAUAUGCCUGCUGAGAUCAAGACAUGCUCCUUGUAUCUAUGCAUAUUUCCAAAGGGGCGAAACAUCAGCACCAAGCGGCUGACCAGGCGAUGGCUAGCAGAAGGCUUCGUCAGCGAGAAGGAUGGGCUGAGUGCGGAGGAUGUCGCGGAGACAUACUUCAAUCAUCUCAUAAAGAGGAAGAUCAUACGUGCUGUGGAGCACAGCAGCAACGGGAAGGUGAAGAGUUAUCAAGUUCAUGACAUGGUUCUCCAGUACAUUGUGUCCAGGGCAAGCGAAGAGAACUUUGUCACCGUGGUUGGUGGCCACUGGCUCAUGGCGACGCCUAGCAACAAAGUCCGUCGGCUGUCCCUCCAAGGCGGUGACUCCAAAUACAAGAAAGGAAUGGAUGGCAUGAACUUUUCUCAUGUCCGAUCUCUGACCUUGUUUGGGAGCUUGACCCAACUGCCUUCCAAUUCAUUGAAGUUUGGAAUUGUGCAAGUGCUAGAUCUUGAAGGUUGCAAUGAUUUUAAAAAGCAACAUGCCAAGGAGAUAUGCAAGAUGCUUCUACUCAAGUACCUCAGUCUCCGAAGGACAGAGAUUGACAAGAUCCCUAAGAAGAUUGGAAAGCUCCAGUAUUUGGAGACUAUUGACAUAAGGGAGACCAAUGUCACAGAGCUGCCGAGCACUGUCUGCCAGCUGGAACGACUGGUCAACAUACUUGGUGGGAACAAAAGAACACGGAAGGCAUUGAGGCUUCCAGAAGACCUGAAGAAGGAAACAAUGAAAUCCCUGCGCCUACUGUCAGGUAUCGAGAUCGAUGAGGGGUCAGCGGCUGCUGUGGCAGACCUUCAUCAUCUAACUGAACUGAGGAAGCUAGCCAUUUACAAGCUCAACAUCGGAAACGGAAGUAAACUUUUCAGAGAAUUAAGCUCGUCAAUUGAGUAUCUUGGUGGCUACUCUCUUCACACCCUGAUAAUCGAUGAUGAGUCAUCUGAGUUUCUAAAAUUGCUGAGUGCUCUCUCUUUCCCUCCCAAGUUUCUGAAUGCUCUUGAACUGUCUGGCAAGUUAGUUGAGCUCCCACAAUGGAUCACGGAACUUGAUGUAUUGACGAAGUUGACCCUCUCGUUGACGGUGCUGACUACUGAUACUUUGCUCCAGUUGAGCAAGCUCAAGACACUGUUUUCUCUCACGUUUUCACUCACUUCAGCAAAGGUGGGUUCUGAAACAGCUGCCACCACAGGGGAAAACAAGGCUGGUGGGAAGAUCAUAGUUCCUGCUAGCGGAUUUGAGGAGCUCAAGCUUCUUCGCUUCUCGGCUCCAUUGGUGCCACUGCUAACCUUCCCAGAUAAUGCAAUGCCGAAGCUGGAACGGCUUGAGCUAAGGUUCAGCAAUUUGGGUGGAAUGAAUGGCAUCGAAAAUCUUCAAAAUCUAAAAGAGGUGCAUCUCAGAAUACAUGACAAAGCAGGUGGUGUUACCAAGUCAAUGGUAGAGAAUAUGGCAACUGCAGCAAGGGAAGAUGACAAAGGCCCCAGAAUAAUUGUUGAUCAGUAUCACGAUCGAAGAAGUACGCAUUCAGAUCAAGGAUACACAAAGUGA